CCUGUGUCCUGUGGAUUGUGUCAGGUUGGAGGACCUGUAUGGAUUGGGUGUCGUGCGGAUCGUGUGUUAGGUGCGAGCAGUCUACUGACCGUGUGGCCUACUCCUGGCGCGGCAGUAGGCGCAGAAAUGCCUAGCCAAAAAGCUGUACGCAACCGGUGAAGGACAUUGCACAUGACAGUGUAGCAUAAACAUAGUAAGUCCAAUCAAAAUAGAACUAGAACUAGCCGGUACAUCCAUGAGUUCCGUUUGACGGGAGACUUUUCCCAUAUUAAGAGCCGGAUGGGUGCAUAGCACUGCUUCCCGCUGGGGCUGUCGACUCCGAUGGGGUGAACGGAGUUAUAUUGGCGACAUCCCAUCGGUGUGUCGUACUCCUCUUGGCGCCUGCCACUGGACGAAUGCCUAGAGCUUGUAAAAAUCGCGGUGCUUCUUCUGGC
This is a non-coding RNA of Pelobates cultripes (western spadefoot toad), 434 nucleotides long. The record is from the annotation of a GenBank genome assembly. Lineage: Eukaryota; Metazoa; Chordata; Amphibia; Anura; Pelobatidae.